CUCCCAUGUACGAGUAUUCGUUGAGCACAUUGUAAAUUGCUUUAUUAAAAUCAUGGUUACGCGUUUCAUCAUUCUCUGCACUAUUCUAUUGCUCUAUUUGAGCAAUGCUAGCCCAGCAUGGUACAAGAAAACGCCGAAAACGCAGCAACCAAAGAAAGAUCGGCCAAAUGGUAAUGAACUACGAAUGCCAUACAUUAUCCCCAUACCAAGACCGGCAUCCCAACUCAAAAAACCACCUUACCGUCCUCCAGAAGAUAAUAAUGUGCAGCCUAUACUCGUACCCGACUUUGAUUGAUUAGAUUAAUUUUAAAUUGUAUAAUAACACCACUAGGUAUGUAGAUGUACAUAAAACAUUGUUUUUCUCUAACCACAUUUAAUAUAUCUAAACGGCUUCAAAAUAAUUAUCUCAACGAAUUUUAGAUACUCUUAUCAAAACCGUGCUCAAAUUUCGCUCCAAUUGUGAUGCUGAAAAAAUUUUGUAUGGUAGAAAUCCUUCUUCAAGGCAUAAGUUCUGCUGUUCGAACUAAAAAUUCAGUUUUUUUAAUUCACUAUAAAAAAAACAAGGGGAAAAAUCAUGCUGUUUGAUUCCCUUUUUCAAUCAUUUAAUUUUUUUUGUUAAUAAAGGGUAAUACCGGCCGAAAAUUCUGAAGAAAUUUUGAAAAAGUUCUGCUUCUAAUUUUUCAUUUUUUAUAGGCUAAGUUAUACUCGUACUUUUUUUUGGGGGGGGGGGAGAAAAUUAAAAAAUAUUUUGUUGAAAAUGUUCUGUGUUUAAAAUUAGAAAUUCAAUCACUUAAACUUUCUUUUGCAUGAAAAAGAUCCUGAAAAGGAAUUUUCUUGAAAUCAAGAAGGUCAAUGAACUCACGUUCAAGGUAUCAAGGUACCUAAUUAUAUUACAUAGUACAUACUAAUGUUAAUUUGAAUUAAAAUUAUGAAAACUUACCCGCAACAAUGGCAGAACAUCAUGAUGAUGAUGCAAACGAAGUUCAAAACUACGAAAACGAAAUUCGACGAUUGUUGAAUUAAAUCUUCGGAAGUUGAUAUGAAAUUAAAUUCGCGACAAAUCACCGCCGAAGCCAAACGAACUAAUCAACAGGGCUGAAGCAUAAAAAUAUUGAAUCAAAAAUAUGAAAUCACCAACUCUCAGUCGAGGGAGAACGAACUUAUCAAAAUUUGAAGAAAAUAUUUUUUGAGCAUGUUUGAGAAUUUGAAGCCCAAAAUUUGGUCUAGAUUUUCCGUAUUUUUGAAAAACAUGCCAUGCGACUUAUCAAUAUGGGUCAAAAUUUUGGACAGAAAAUCUGACGUUGAGCCCAAAAUUGGGUCACGAUUUUUGAAGUUUUUGAAAAAAAAUUCCAUGAGAUCUAUCAACUUAUUUGAGUUGAAAUUUUGGACAGAAUAAAAAAAAUUCUCAUAACAACUUUUUUUUAGACUUUUUGAAGAAUUCUGAACCCGAAACUAGAUCUGGCAUGAUUGGCUUAUCAGAGUGGCUUAAAAUUUCGGCAGAAAAUCAAACCUUUUUCAAAAAUCGUACUCCAAUUUUAGACCAAUAUUUUUCAAAAAAUUUUCAAAAUCGAAUUUUUUGUGAACUUUUAACUCAUUUUGAUAUUUAGCUUUCAUGAUAACUUUUUCGAAAAACCAAAAAAUCGUGACCCAAUUCUAAGCUCACAAAGAACUAAAGUUCUAACGGAAAUUUUUGAUUUUUUUUCAAAAUUCAAACUCUGUAAUAACUUCUUUAAAAAUCCAGAAAAUCGUAACCAAAUUUAGAGCUUAAAAUUCUCAAAAAUACUCCCAAAAAAAUUAUCGUUGAAAUAUUCGAAUUUUUCGUGAAAUUUUAAUCUACUUUGAUAUGUCGAACGAUACAUUUUCGGAAAUCUCGAAUCUCAUUACUUAAUUUUGGGCUCAAAAUACUUCAAAAAUGCUGGAAAACAUUUUCGUUAAAGUAAUUCGAAUUUCUAGUGAAAGUUCAACUCAUUUUGAGACGUUGCAUGGCACAUUUUUAAAACACCUCUACAAUCAUAACCCAUUGAGGGGACUUACAAUUCUUCAAGAAAGCUCAAAGAAAGUUCCGAUGGAAAUUUCUAAUUUGCUGCCAAAAUUCCAAAUUAUUUCGAUAAGUCGCAUGAUACUUUUUACGAAAAUUCCUAAAAUUACAAUCCAAUUUUAAGCUUAAAAAUUUUUCAAAAAUACUCAAAAAACAUUUCCGUUGAAAUAUUUGAAUUUAUCUCGAAAUUUUAACCUAUUCUGAUAUGUCGCUUGACACAUUUUCAGAAAUUCCAAAAAUCACGACCCAAUUCUGCGCUAAUUUAUUCUUCAAACAUGUUCAAAGAGCAUCGUCAAAAAUUCUAAUUUCUCGCAAAAUUUAACCUAACUAAUUUCGAUAAUGGUUGAAUCAAAUCUGACCAAACAGAUGUGAUCCGUUUUCCGAAUAUCAGGCUUAGAAAAAUUUCCAAAGUAAAUUCCCUCUUGAAAAAAAAAAAAAAAAAAAAAAAAAAAAAAACGUUGAAAAAACCUCUCAAAAAACCCAUCUCAGUGAAAGCUUUUUUAUUCUCAAGAAAUAACAUAAUAAUAAUUAUUGUCUAAUGUCUAUGUGAACAAUCUUAAAAACAACAUAGAAACCUGCACUUUCAAUUCCCAGGUAACAUGUUUUAGAAAAAAAAAAAAAUCGAUAAAAAAAUUCGAAAAAAAUGGAUGGAGCAUCGAGAGCGUCUUGC
Long non-coding RNA from Planococcus citri (citrus mealybug), 2708 nucleotides. RefSeq lists it as uncharacterized. The transcript is spliced from 2 exons. The record is from RefSeq and is a predicted model, not a curated record. Lineage: Eukaryota; Metazoa; Arthropoda; Insecta; Hemiptera; Pseudococcidae.